GUGGUGAAUCUUCCGCAAUGGACGAAAGUCUGACGGAGCAACGCCGCGUGAGUGAAGAAGGUUUUCGGAUCGUAAAGCUCUUUCGUUAGGGACGAACGUGCUCUUUGUGAAUAAUGAGGAGUAAUGACGGUACCUAAAUAAGAAGCCACGGCUAACUACGUGCCAGCAGCCGCGGUAAUACGUAGGUGGCAAGCGUUGUCCGGAAUUAUUGGGCGUAAAGCGCGCGCAGGCGGGAUAUCAAGUCUGUCUUAAAAGUGCGAGGCUCAACCUCGUGAGGGGACAGAAACUGGUAUUCUUGAGUGUCGGAGAGGAAAGUGGAAUUCCAAGUGUAGCGGUGAAAUGCGUAGAGAUUUGGAAGAACACCAGUGGCGAAGGCGACUUUCUGGACGAUGUCUGACGCUGAGGCGCGAAAGCUAGGGGAGCGAACGGGAUUAGAUACCCCGGUAGUCC
RNAcentral lists this ribosomal RNA (450 nucleotides) under uncultured bacterium. RNAcentral's name for it is "partial 16S ribosomal RNA". It matches the Rfam family "Bacterial small subunit ribosomal RNA", at positions 354 to 796 of the family's 1533-position model. The record is from RNAcentral.